This is an RNA transcript of Perca fluviatilis (European perch), 1581 nucleotides long. It is a transcript of the gene named RIMS-binding protein 2-like, with no coding region annotated. Lineage: Eukaryota; Metazoa; Chordata; Actinopteri; Perciformes; Percidae. The transcript has 6 exons. The record is from RefSeq and is a predicted model, not a curated record.
CUUAGUUACCUCAAAUCAGGAUAAGGGUAAGGAGAGGACUGUUGUCUACAGCAGAAAUCUGUCCAGUAAACAGUUGAGCGCUCACACAGCUGUAAAUGGAGACAGUUCGACUGGAGUUGGAUGUUUUGAUAUUCCCAGAUGGAGUGAGGAUUGCUACUGCAGAAGAAAUCGCAGAAUGGGAGCUUCAGGCUGCGAGCCAGGUGUCCAUACCGACCAUCCGACUCUUUGUGGCACUUUACCCAUACAACCCUGCUGCAAUGUCCCCCAACUAUGAGAUGGCUGCAGAGGAGCUGCCUUUUGUGCCAGGCCAGAUAAUCAAGGUGUUUGGAGACAAAGACUAUGAUGGCUUCUAUUAUGGUGAGUCCGGUGGUCUCUCUGGUUAUGUGCCAAGUAACAUGGUGGCUGAAGUCCCAGUGGAGGAUGAGUACCUGAAGCAUCGCCUCAUGCAGCAGGGAUUCCUCCCUGUGGACCACACAGGCAUGUCUUCAACGCCAGAUCUGAGCGACGUAGCCAGUAUCCCUGAUGAUUUGGUCGUUCGACGAAUGGUGGCCAUAUUUGACUACGAUCCGUGGGAAAGUUCACCCAACAUGGACAGUGAGAUUGAACUUGGCUUUCGUUCAGGAGACAUCAUUUAUGUCCUAGGUGACAUGGAUCGAGAUGGAUUUUACUACGGGGAUCUGCACGGACGACGAGGUUUGGUUCCAUCUAAUUACCUGCAGCCACUACCCUGGAAUUAGAAGAAAAGACCACGCUAUAAGAUGUUUGCUACCAAUGCCAAGUCUCAGAGACACCAACAGUAUACUCAUCCAUAAAGUAGGAAACACUACACUGUGUAGUAGAGUUUAGUAGUGCUUUCUACUUUAUGGGUGACAACACUGUACAUCAGUAGCUUCUGGUCGUUCCACCGCAAACAAUGAAGACAUGACGGGUCGGGUAAAGGCAAGUUUCCACACAUUAAAUAAACACAAGCACAUUCUCUAACAUCAUUUUAUAACUGAGAAACAUGAAAAUAUUAUGCACACACAGCAUUUGGUAGAAAUGUGCUCAAAGGUCUGCUGAUAUAGGACAAUAAUGAGACAUAAUGUAGUAACUCGUGUAUAUUUCAGUGCAUUUUAAUUGGAAAGAUACAACAAAUAAAAGCAAAUGCAGUCAAAGAAUGGUCAAAAUUAAACAAUUAAAGUCACUUGCUGUCAGGGCCUUACCAUUGUUUGGACUCCCCAGAAGAAAGAAAACCCAGAAGUGAACGUGAUCUUUUUAUUAACCCUGUCUGAGCCACGUGGUUAACACAGGAAAAGCUCUAACAGUCACACACACACACGCAUGCACGCACGCACGCACGCACACACACACACACACACACACUCUGGUGGGAAUAGUAUUUGAAACAUGUACUCAGGUUUGUGACCAUGUCCCUUUUACAGUUUUUUUUCGAUUGCUAAACAGUCGGGCACAACUGAAGCCCCAUGUGCAAAACACAACUCUUCACACACGUCUCAAAACAGGCUCAGUGCAGCCAAACACUAUGCACAGUCCUCAUCUAGGUAACACACGCUGUCACUCAGAACACACUGAGACACACAC